RNAcentral lists this transfer RNA (73 nucleotides) under Stegodyphus mimosarum. It matches the Rfam family "tRNA". From Rfam's summary of the family: Transfer RNA (tRNA) molecules are approximately 80 nucleotides in length. Their secondary structure includes four short double-helical elements and three loops (D, anti-codon, and T loops). Further hydrogen bonds mediate the characteristic L-shaped molecular structure. tRNAs have two regions of fundamental functional importance: the anti-codon, which is responsible for specific mRNA codon recognition, and the 3' end, to which the tRNAs corresponding amino acid is attached (by aminoacyl-tRNA synthetases). tRNAs cope with the degeneracy of the genetic code in two manners: having more than one tRNA (with a specific anti-codon) for a particular amino acid; and 'wobble' base-pairing, i.e. permitting non-standard base-pairing at the 3rd anti-codon position. The record is from Rfam by way of RNAcentral. Lineage: Eukaryota; Metazoa; Arthropoda; Arachnida; Araneae; Eresidae.
GGGCCAGUGGCGCAUCAGAUAAUGCGCCUGUCUACGGAUCAUGAGAUUUCAAGUUCGAAUUUUGGCUGGCUCG